Molecule: long non-coding RNA, 10536 nt
Filed under: Triticum aestivum (bread wheat)
Lineage: Eukaryota; Viridiplantae; Streptophyta; Magnoliopsida; Poales; Poaceae
Description: long non-coding RNA (TAES_LNC004289)
Source: RNAcentral
ACAGGGUGCCGCUCGAGGGGGCGUGCACGCAUCGGCGUCCCCAGGAGCGUGGCAUGAGCAUGUUGGAGGGUGCUCAGCCUCGGUACAAUCGUUCUAGACUACAGGGAUAAUCAGUGCUAAUCCUUGAGCUCCAGCUUCACUACUCACUACAGGGAUAAUUCACACAAUGCUUUCCCUGUAAGAUCUUUAGAACAUGCUAUUUUUUUGCUUCUUUGUGAAGCAUGUCAUCAUAGCAAUUUCCCUGUAGUGAGUAAUGACAUUGCUCUGCUUUGUUCAGGCAGGCGCAAGAAAUGGAUAAAUGUGAUGAAGCCCUUGGACUGCUGAAUUUGCACUGGAGUCUGUCCUAAACUAUUCAGGAGCUUACCAACAACUGUCAUGCAUUCUUGGUCAUGAAUGCAGCCAGGCAGGUAAAUCUCCAACAAGCUGCUGCCUACUUGUUUUUCUAGUGGAAUCUCCACAUUCACAGUUAGUUAAAUGACCAAGGUUUUUCAAAUACUUUGCAAGUUUACAAACUAGGAUGACUGCCAUUACAUAGGAUCGGUGUUCGUUUCACACGGUUUCACUUUUCUCUCCCGAAUACACACCUAAGUGCGCAUAGAAGGAAAUGCCUAGGUGAGCCGAACUUACAGCCUGCAAUAAAAGCAAAACAGCCAGAAAGGAGAAAGAGAAGAACGCAAACAAACUGUGCAGCAAACAAAUAGUUUCACUUCUGUUCUUUCCUUAUAAAACUGUCUAGCAUUUGUAAAGAUUAUCUUAAAGGAAGGUAGAAUAACUCCUUUAGAUAAUAACCUAACUAUGUAUAAAGGGAAGGUAUGUUUUCCCUUUCUUACUAUUCUACCAUCCGAUGAUUAGUACUUCAUGCGUUGUUAAUAAAUUGAACCAUGAUCAUGUUAGGGCAAUUAAAGGUCAGUUCACCUAGAGAUAUGGUUGGACUAGUAUUAGUUCCUUUCGUUCUUCCAACUGCCCUGAGCUUAUGCAAUCUUUUUCUUCCUCACAAUGCUAGAUUUAACAACCUCCAAUCUAGGGAAAAUAACAAUAGACAGACACAGAUACAACACUUCUGCCUGUGCAGGGGGUUAACUGUCCUACGGGCAAGAAGCAUCAACCAGAAGCCCAAGCAUAAAAAAGGUAAACUAGAAUAUUGUUAGAGAAAUUCCAUCCGGUACCACUAAUACCGCCACUAACUUCGUCCCUUUCUGGGAAUUUUUGGUUUACUGGCCUUCAAACAUGCUUCGGCUGACAAACAGCUUCAUCCUGCCCCCUGCCCUAAGUUGCCAUUUUUUGCAGCCUACUUCUAUCCCUGCCAAAUAUUGUAGGAGCUGAAUUACUUUGGAAUCUAGAUAUACAUCUAAUCGAUUGCGCAGUUUCUUCCCAUCAAAUGGUGAGUGCUUGCGAAUAGGUAAUGUGUAUUAUGUUAUCCCCUAGGAGGCUAGUACUAGGAUUUUCAAAUGACCCCAACUUGUGUGCAAGGUCUGUAAUAUGUAUAGCCCAGAGACAAAUUUACGGUACUGUCCAAGUGUUAUUUCAAAAGGUUGGAAUUGGAUUAGUUAUACAUGACAAAUAACUGGAACACACUGUUGCUCUCACAUCAUGCUAAAUAGUAGCGCUACUGCUAAAUAGCUAUACACAUUAAUGAUAUAAUAACUCAUCAUGAUCAUAAUAACAACUCAUCAUCAUCAUAAUAAUAAUAACAACUCCUCCUCCUCCUCCUCCUCAUAGUCAUAUAAGAACUCAUCAUCAUCAUCAUCUAUGAGUCAUAUAACAACUCAUCAUUCUAAGUUUCUAGCACAUUCUAGCACAUAACUCAUCAUCAUCAUAAUAAUAACAACUCCUCAUCCUCAUAGUCAUAACCAACACUAGCUAAUUGUUUAUAUCACAUGAUGAGUACUACCGAGGACCUACACCUCUCUCUUUGCUAAAAUAGCAUAAAACAGGUAAACCGGUCCAUCUCCAUAAUGGAGAAUGGAGAUCCACCUGUCUCCAACUUGUGGCUUGCGCACAUUCAUGUUGUCUCCAAUUGGUUGCUUGCGCGCAUUCAUUACUUUCCUCCAUUCUUUGAUAUUGAGUCUUUCAUCUUUUAAAGAAAUCGAGUAUGCCAUGUGGUAAGCUGUCGGCGGAGUUGGUCGUAAGCUAACCAUAUGCAUAUGACCUUCGGUAAGCAUCAUGUCAGGCACAACCUCCUUCGGGAGUUUCUAUUGAAGAACAUAAUAGUAACAUAUAGUUAGUAAUGUAGUUUACUUAAGAAGAAUGUAUGCAACCAUAGUUUAUCAUGCAACUCGUGGACUAGUGGCACGUAUCCACUAAAAUUUGGGUUAAUUAAAUAAUUGGUCUUAAAAGUCUCAACAUCAUUUAUAAAUGAGACAAGAGAUCCUUUCUCCUAACAAUUUAGCUCGGAGCCAUAGCUAUAGUACGUCUUGUCUACAACCUUCCGAGUAUUUCUUGAAGAUAAGAAAUAAGAUGACAAUAUAAAUAAACAAGUUUAGUAGGGAUGAACACCAAAUAUUUUUAAAUAAAUAAUAUUAAUUACUUAACAAAUUUCUUUGACAAACUCACAUAGAGGCGGAACUGGAGGCAUAUUCACAUCCACCCAAAUGUCGAUAUUAUUUUCAAUAUCAUCUUCAGGACGAAUAUCGAAGGUUAUUUGCAUAUUCUCCUCAAAUCCAUAGGCCUUGCAGAGAGCUCCCCAAUUAGAGCAACCAAAAUAUGAGUGAUUAAGUGCAUUGUAGAGUUUAACCCGAAAAGCAUAAUCAUGUUUAGUCCUGAGAUGAGCUCUCCUCGUCUCCAUAUUCUCACUCUCUUGGAAACCGAGCUUCUCCAAGACAAAUAGUCUUGCAUGGCAGGGGAUGCACUAGUUGAAUUGAAAAAACGGAAAUUACACGUUGAAGCAAAGAAGUACAAGUCAUGCUUAAUUGCACAUUCAUUCAAAGAAGCACAAGUCAAUACCUACCGUAAAAACAUCAAAGGUCUCGUCCAGCUUGAUGGUGAAAUACCUAUCGUUUUCCAGAUGAUACAUGUCGCACAUACCCCGGUCGUCGCCGCAGUAAUCACACUCAGGUAUCCUACCAUCGUCAGACAUUUCCUGUGUUCAUAAUUCAAAGAUUAUAAAUCGAUGGCAAUUACCAAAAACUCAGGAAAUGAUCUGUGUGUUGAGUUCCUGGUAAUUGCCGUUGAUUUUUAAUCUUUAAAUUAUGAACACAGGAAAUGUCUGACGGCGAUAGGAUAUCUGAGUGCGAUUAUUGCACCGAUGACGGGGGUAUGUGCGGCAGGCCUCAUCUAGAUAACGGUGCUUCACCCUCACGCUGAAGGAGACCUUCGAACAUUUUACGGUAUGCAAUGACGGAAAGUAUUUUUUCAUAAUUAAACAUGACUAGUGCUUUUUGCUUUAACGUGUAAUUUUUGUUUUGUACAAUUUGACUAGUGCAUCCCCUGUUAUGCAAGAUUGUAUGUCUUAGAGAAGCUUGGUUUCGAAGAUAGGGAGAGUAUGGAGACGAAUAAAGCUCACCUAAAGAUGAAACAUGGUUUCAUUUUUGCGGUUAAGCUCUACAAUGCAGUAAAUCACUCAAAUUUUGGUUGUCGAAAUUGGAGAGGACUAUGCAAGGCCUAUGGAUUUCAGGAGGAUAUGAAAAUAACCUUCGAUAUUGGUCCUCAAGAUGAUCCUAAAGAUAAUAUCGACAUUUCGGUGGAUGUGGACAUGAUUCCAGUUCUACCUCUAUGUGAGUUUGUCAAACAAAUAUGUAACUAAUUUAUAUUGUUUAUUUAAAAAUAGUUGGUAUUCAUCCCUACUAAACUUGUUUAUUUAUAAUUUGAUAGCUUAUUUCUUUUCUCCAAGAAAUACACGAAAGAAAGGUUGUAGACAAGUCAUACUGCAGUUAUGGCUCGGAGCUAACUUGGAAGGAGAAAAAUUCCGUUGUCUCAUUUAUUAAUGAUGUUGAGACUUUUAAGACCAAAUAUGAAAUUAGCCAAAAUUGUAGUGGAUAUGUGCCGCUAGUCCACGAGUUGAGUGAUGGUAGCAUCAGUGCAAAUAGCAUGGUAAGAUUUUAUUGACUAUCGAUGGAUACAUUCUUCUUAAGUAAACUACAUUGCUAACUAUGUUACUAUUAUGUUCUUCAACAAAAACUCCCGAAGGAGAUUGUGCCUGACCUGAUGUAUACCGAAGGUCAGAUGAGUAUGUUUAGCUUAUGGCCAAAUUAGCCGGUGGCUUUCCACAGUGCAUACUCGAUUUCUCUAAAAGAUGAAAGCCUCAAAAUCAAAGGAAGAAUGCGCACAGGCAACCAAUUGGAGAACAUGAAUGUGCGCAAGCCACAAGUUGGAGACUGGCGGAUCUCUAUUGUCCAUUUUGGACAUGGAGGGGUUUACCUGUUUUAUGAUAUUUUACCUAGGAGAGAGGAGUAGGUCCUACGUAGUACUUGUCAUGUGCUAGAAUGAUGAUGAGUUAUUUACCUAGGAUGACUACCCUUAGCUAGGUUGGUUAACUUGUCAUGUGCUAUAUUGAUGGUGAGUUAUUAUAUGACUACGCAUGAUGAUCGAGUUGUUAUAUGACUACGAUGAUGAUGACGAGGCCGUACUACUUGUAAUGUGCUAGAAUGAUGAUGAGUUAUUAUAUAUAUGACUACGGAUGAUGAGUUGUUAUAUCAUUGGGGUGUAAGAAACAUGGAUCCAUCCACUUUAAUCUAAUCCGUGUUUCCUCCACAAUCUCUUCAUUGCUACGGUAUAAAAAUUGUAUAACUGUGUAUAAAUAAAAGUAUAAAUAUAAAGAAAUGAAUACUCACUAAUAAUAGUGGCGUGGGGCAAAAACAGGCGUUACUGCUAUUUAGCAGUAGCGUUAGCAAUAGCGCGGGUCCAAUCCCACGCAGCAGUAGCGUGGGGUCAGACCCGCGCUACUGUAGAUGGAACUGGUGCCAUGGGUCUUGGAGGGCGCGCGAGCGCGACUUCGGUGGUUCUUGCUCGCGCGGCAGGAUGGCGUGGACGCGGUAGAUCGGGCGCGACAGGUGUUGUGCGGGCGCGCGGGAUGGCUAGGCCGUCGCAGAUCUGGCGCGAGGGCUGUUUCGCGGGCGGGGGUGUGCUGUGGCUCGGGCGUGGCCGGGCAGGGUGCCUCUAUGGAGCGCAGGAGGUCAGGGGCGUGGUUCAUCUGCGGGUGAGCCGCAAGGUGGUGCGGGGCAAUGCAGGAGGCAUGGCGCGUGGUGGAGAGGCUCGGGCGUGCGGCGCUCGGGCGGCGGCUUAGCCGUGAGGGGGCGCGGCUGGUGCGUGCCUACGUGAUUUGAUGCUGCGAGUAAGCCUUGGUGAUGGUGGGUCGGGAGCCUGGGUUGGCGAGGAAGAGCACCUUUGGUUGCGAGUGAUGUAGAUUCGGUCUCCGGUGGCUGCGAUGGCGUGCAUGGGGCGCGUCGGUGGUUCUGUUGCUUGGCUAUGGCUCGGAACCAUGGUGGCUCUUGGCUUCGGGCAGCGCUCCUCUAUUCCCGUGCUGCGUCCGAAAGACCGUUGAUGGAUCUAGGGACUCGUUCUGGAGGUUGGCCGUCGGUGGUCUCCGCGAGGUGCGGCUGGCUACGGCGGAUCUCAGAGCUUCUUUGUUGAUGGGCAGCUCUGAUUGUGGUGGUGUUUGGUGGGCUUCCCGGCGCUGGUGCAGGAUGAUGUACGACUGAGGUGGUGUGGGAGAUUGGUUGAACGCCCUAUCUUGGCUUUGUGCUGUGACCAGCGAUGGUGGCGGCUGCGGCCGUCGUUGACCUUCUUGGAGGCAUCAUUGCUUUGCUGCCGCACCUCUCCCGCGUGGAUCCGGCCAUCUCGGCCUCUCUGGGGGAAACCUUUGAUCUGUUAUCGGACGAUGGCGGCGCCUUGGUGUCGUAUUCCCUCUCGGGGGCUUCGUCUUGGGAGCUCAAUAUCGGCAAGCGAGACCGGUGGAUUGCGGCGGUUGUGGCGACCAGGUUUUUGUGGCAACGAUGAUGAUAGGUCCAAUGUCGGCAACGCGGCAAUGGUUGAGGUAGUCGGCUCUUCUCCGGCAUGUCCACGGGUUUGCCUCGGUUUGUUUGUUGCUGUGAAGUCGAAGCUGCUGCGGCAGGCCCUGUGGUAUACGAUGACUGGCUGCAGGUGAACCGUUCGGCGAUCUUCCGUGGUGCCAGCCAUGCCUGGUUUUGUCCUUCGUAGUUCUCCGUCAAAGUUGGAGCUGUGCUAUCUGGUCGCAGGUGGCUGAGUUCUGGCGUGGAUCUUCAUGCAUCUUCACGGGGAUUCUGCAGUAUGUGUCGAGUCGACGAUCGCCUAUGGCGAAGUCAGAGUCCUUUGCUCAGGAUUUAGGGAUGGCGAUGUCGCCUCUACGGGAGGAGUGAUGACGAUGACGCCUAUGUGCUGUCUCGACGAGGCCAUCACUGGAGUGGUGUGCAUGGGGUAUCUUGUGUGUGCCGCUCAACGGUUGUGAUAGUUUUCGCCCGGUAUGAUCAAUUGGGCAAUCUGGUUUUCACUCGGUUUUCCCUAAUUAACUAAGCAACUAUUUUCUUCUUAACGAAUGCAGGAUAACUGCCAUUUCAAAAAAAAAUGAAGGCCACAUAACAUGGCCGGGAACAAAAUAUUUUUGUCAGAAUCAGAAACACACUGCCUCCUUGCCUCAAUCCUCGUUUGUGUUCUCCAGUGUGUAACCUACAAACUGUGCUUUUAUCACAACAGUCAAAUGUAAAAUUCCACAUGAACUUUGUACUUAUUUGAACCAGAUAAUUUGCCUUGUUGAAAGUGUAUAUUAGGGUUUGAUAAAUUCAUCCGUUCUCAUGACUGCAAACUGUCGAGCACCAUAUAGGGAGGAUAAAUCAUCAACAGUUGAUGUUUUAGACUUGUAGCUGCAAGAGCAAGCACGGACAAUCUUCAGGCAUCCCAAUGUUGGGUGUGUGCUUUCCUGUUGCUAACUUGGCUCUGCUGCUGGUGAAGCCCAAGACGGCAUUCCGCAUGUCAGCUACUGAAGCACGGACAAUCUUCAGGCAUCCCAAUGUUGGGUGUGUGCUUUCCUGUUGCUAACUUGGCUCUGCUGCUGGUGAAGCCCAAGGCGGCAUUCCGCAUGUCAGCUACUGAUAAUAGCCUGUUGCUGCAAGUGUUUGGUUGUUUUGUAGUAUUUUGCUGGCAUUGGGUCUCUGUACUUUCUCCGUUUCCUUGCAUGAAAUUGGGGGUUGUCUACCGCCUGAACCACAGUACUCAAAACAGUAGCUCUACUUAGCUAGCACAUUUGAUGAUUCUAUGCUGCGCUGUGUGUUUACUUAUUUCUUCACUGCAAUACAUUUGAUGAUUCUAUGCUGUGCUGUGUGUUUACUUAUUUCUUCACUGCAAUUAACUAUCAUGUGUUUGAGAAUCUACCUCAUUAACCGAAUUUGGUUUAUGCAGACUCCCCGACGGUGACACGGGAGAUUCAGUCGACCAUUUUUGUUCUAGGCUUGCAUUGUGUGAUUUUUCGGAAGCAUAUGCUCAAGCUGCAACAGUAUUGUGACUGCAGAAUUCAGCUAAAUUUCCGUUUUUUAUAGAGUACCGACCAGUCAAAUAUCAGUCCUGUUCACAUCACCUUGAUGCAAGCACAUCAUUGGAUCUCAGGUUUGCAUUGGUAAAAUUUGUAAGUUGUAGUCCUAGUAUGCAAGGCUGUUAGGUGCAUGGGUGUCAGGGGUGCACUGUCAAGCUCUUUUAUAUCUGAAAGGGACCACUGAGCAAACGGUACUACCAUCUUUACACAUUACUACUGUGCAGUAACUUGCACCACUAGAUGCGAAACCCACCACAGGAUAGGAUAUAUCUCACAUAAAUCCAACGGUUAUGCUUCCCCUCUGCCUCUCCUAUACCCCUCCAUGGCGUUGGUCGGUGGCAUCCAUUUCCGAAAACAAAGCUAUGUCCAACCGUUGCUUCUGUGCUUCAGUAUGCAGGUGUUUCAGGAGAACAUAAACACGCAGCGCAGGAAUCAAGGCACACAACACGGUGAUAAGGGAUCACAAUGAGAUGAAAUACUUUUGUCACAACUGUCAAAUGUAAAAUUCCACAUGGACUUUAUUCUUUUUCGAAUCAGUGUCAGUUGCAUUUGUCGUAUGAAGUAUAUGUUACGGUCUGAUAAAUUUAUCCGUUCUCAUGACUGUAAACUGUCGAGCACCAUGUUAGGAGGGUAAAUCACGAACAGUUGAUGUUUUACACCUAUAACUUCAAGAGCAAGCACAAGCAGUCUUCAGGCCAUCCCAAGAUUGGGUCUGCGCUUUUCUAUCGCUAACCUGGCUCUGUUGUUUGUUAAGUCCAGGACGACAUUUCACAUGUAUGCUACUGAUAAUAGCCUGUUGCUGCAAGUGUUUGGUUGUUUUCUACUCCCUCCUUUCCAUAAUUAUGGAACAGAGGGAGCAGUAUUUUGUUAGCAUUGGAUCUCUGCACUUUCUCGGUUUCCUUACAUGAAAUCAGCGGUCGUCUACCUUCUGAACUGAAAGACAAACAAUUUUACUUAGCCUAGCAUAUUUGAUGAUUUACUGUUUGUUUACUUAUUUCUUCACUGCAAUUAACCACUAUGCAUUUGAGCAUUUGAUUCGUUAACUGAAUCUGAUUUCACGCAGACUUCAUGACUUUGACUUGCGAGAUUUGGUCCAACAUUGUGUUACACGCUUACAUUGGUGCUUUUCUGGAGUAACGAUCAAGCUGCAACAGUUUUGUGACUGCAGAAUCCAGCAGGGUAAAUCUUCGUUCCGUUUUGAUAAUCGACCGGUCACAUUGAUGCAAUCUUCUUGGUAUACCUAAUCAUCAUUGGAACUUAUUAGGUUUGCACUGGUAAAAUUAGCAAGUUGUAACUCUAGUAUGCAAGGUUGUUAGGUGCAUGAGGUUCAGAGGGUGUACUGUCAAAUUUCUUUUAUAUCUGAAAAGGACAUGUGAGCAAAUGGUGGAAGUACUUGUGUAGGGCUAUAACCCACAGAGCACCAUCUUUACACAUCACUACUGCACAGUAGUAAUUUGCACCACUAAAUGCCAAACCCCAUACAGUAACUCACAGAAAAGCUAAUGCCUGUGCUUCCCCUCUCUGUCUCUCCUCCACGCCUCCACCACUGUUUCUGCUUGCUGAUGUUGGAGAAGAUGAUCAGGGUUGUUGGUGUCGGUUGGUGGCAUCCAUUUCUGCUGCCUUUUUUUUUUUGUUCAGCCACUUGGCAUUGUGAUCUCCACAGCUGCUCUACAGAUUCCAGAGCUUGCCUGCACCAUUGUCUUCAUUAUGGGUGAGGGUGACAUCCACUUCUGAAACCAAAGCUCUUUCUAGCCUUGCAGGGUGUCUGAGGAGAAGAUAAACACGCUACACAGAAAUCAAUACACAAAGCAUGGUGAUCGGGGAUCACGAUCACGAUGAGAUGAGAUGAAAUACAGGAGGCAGCCUACUAGCUCAGAUUCCACGGUGAGCCAAGGUUCCAUUCCAUCAAUCCCAUGUACGUACUCCCUCUGCAAACUAAUAUAAGAUCAUUUAGAUCGCUACUUUAGUGAUCUAAACGAUCUUAUAUUAGUUUACAGAGGGAGUACUACUUUAUUUACUUAAGUCCAGCUUCAGACAAACCCCCAAGCUUGCUGUCUGUGUGGUGAGCAAGCUGUUUCUUUUCUCACACAAACCCCGGGACUAACAGCAGGUUGACAGAUCUAUUUGUAGCCUCUUAGUAGGUUUUUGCUAUAUGUCAUGACUCAUGACCUAAUCUUUGUUCGCAAUUUGAUGCCUGUCUGCCUGCAGUCAUGAAUUUCUUCAGCAAUCCUCAAAUGAGCUCAUGGUCUGCGUGUGUGCUACAGUGAAAUUAUAUGAUUCAGCAUGUGUAUCAACUCGGACACUUGGUAAACAGAUAUCAACUUGGUGAACGGAUGGAUACGGAAAACUUAUGAUUGAUGCUGGCUUGAUAGGUGCUGUUUGAUCCUCCCCCCUACACAGUCGGUGUCACAACGAACAUUGGAAGUUCAGACGGGAAGUUCACAACUUUUGACUUCGAGUCGCACGCGACCAAGUCAAGACCAAUAAUUCGGGUUAAAAAUAUCAUAAGGGAAAAAUUUAGGGUUGUCUACCUUCUGAACUGAAAGACUAAUACAGUUGUACUUAGCUUAGCACAUUCGAUGAUUCGAUGCUGCACUGUCUUAUUCCUUGUUUCUGUUUUGUGACUGCAGAAUUCAGCAGGGUGAAUUUCCGUUCCGUUUUGAAAACCGAGCAUUCAAAUUUCCGUUUUGCUCAGGUCACCUUGAUAUAUCUAAAUCAUCGUUGGAACUUAGGUUUGCACUGGUAAAAUUAGUAAGCUGUAACUCUAGUAUGCAAAGCUGUUAGGUGCAUGAGGGUGUGCUGUCAAAUUUCUUUUAUAUCUGAAAGGGACCUAUGAGCAAUUGGUGGAAGUACUUGUGUAGGGCUAUAACCCACAGAGCACCAUCUCUACACAUUACUACUACUGCACAGUAGUAAUUUGCACCACUAAAUGCCAAACCCCACACAUAACUCAAGUAAAAGCCAAUGCCUGUGCUUCCUCUCUCUGCCUCUCCUCCACCCCUCCAUCACUGUUUCUACUUGCUGAUGUUGGAGAAGAUGAUUAGGGUUGUUGGUGU